UGUCCGAAUGGGGAAACCCAGUGCAAUUCGUUGCACUAUCGUUAACUGAAUACAUAGGUUAACGAGGCGAACCGGGGGAACUGAAACAUCUAAGUACCCCGAGGAAAAGAAAUCAACCGAGAUUCCCCCAGUAGCGGCGAGCGAACGGGGAGCAGCCCAGAGUCUGAAUCAGCUUGUGUGUUAGUGGAACGGUCUGGAAAGUCCGACGGUACAGGGUGAUAGUCCCGUACACCAAAAUGCACAGGUUGUGAACUCGAAGAGUAGGGCGGGACACGUGGUAUCCUGUCUGAAUAUGGGGGGACCAUCCUCCAAGGCUAAAUACUCCUGACUGACCGAUAGUGAACCAGUACCGUGAGGGAAAGGCGAAAAGAACCCCGGCGAGGGGAGUGAAAAAGAACCUGAAACCGUGUACGUACAAGCAGUGGGAGCACCUUCGGGUGUGACUGCGUACCUUUUGUAUAAUGGGUCAGCGACUUAUAUUCUGUAGCAAGGUUAACCGUAUAGGGGAGCCGCAGGGAAACCGAGUCUUAACUGGGCGUUAAGUUGCAGGGUAUAGACCCGAAACCCGGUGAUCUAGCCAUGGGCAGGUUGAAGGUUGGGUAACACUAACUGGAGGACCGAACCGACUAAUGUUGAAAAAUUAGCGGAUGACUUGUGGCUGGGGGUGAAAGGCCAAUCAAACCGGGAGAUAGCUGGUUCUCCCCGAAAGCUAUUUAGGUAGCGCCUCGUGAACUCAUCUUCGGGGGUAGAGCACUGUUUCGGCUAGGGGGUCAUCCCGACUUACCAACCCGAUGCAAACUACGAAUACCGAAGAAUGUUAUCACGGGAGACACACGGCGGGUGCUAACGUCCGUCGUGAAGAGGGAAACAACCCAGACCGCCAGCUAAGGUCCCAAAGUCAUGGUUAAGUGGGAAACGAUGUGGGAAGGCACAGACAGCCAGGAUGUUGGCUUAGAAGCAGCCAUCAUUUAAAGAAAGCGUAAUAGCUCACUGGUCGAGUCGGCCUGCGCGGAAGAUGUAACGGGGCUAAACCAUGCACCGAAGCUGCGGCAGCGACACUAUGUGUUGUUGGGUAGGGGAGCGUUCUGUAAGCCUGCGAAGGUGUGCUGUGAGGCAUGCUGGAGGUAUCAGAAGUGCGAAUGCUGACAUAAGUAACGAUAAAGCGGGUGAAAAGCCCGCUCGCCGGAAGACCAAGGGUUCCUGUCCAACGUUAAUCGGGGCAGGGUGAGUCGACCCCUAAGGCGAGGCCGAAAGGCGUAGUCGAUGGGAAACAGGUUAAUAUUCCUGUACUUGGUGUUACUGCGAAGGGGGGACGGAGAAGGCUAUGUUAGCCGGGCGACGGUUGUCCCGGUUUAAGCAUGUAGGCUGGUUGUCCAGGCAAAUCCGGAUAAUCAAGGCUGAGGUGUGAUGACGAGGCACUACGGUGCUGAAGUAACAAAUGCCCUGCUUCCAGGAAAAGCCUCUAAGCAUCAGGUAACAUCAAAUCGUACCCCAAACCGACACAGGUGGUCAGGUAGAGAAUACCAAGGCGCUUGAGAGAACUCGGGUGAAGGAACUAGGCAAAAUGGUGCCGUAACUUCGGGAGAAGGCACGCUGGUGUGUAGGUGAAGUCCCUGCGGAUGGAGCUGAGACCAGUCGAAGAUACCAGCUGGCUGCAACUGUUUAUUAAAAACACAGCACUGUGCAAACACGAAAGUGGACGUAUACGGUGUGACGCCUGCCCGGUGCCGGAAGGUUAAUUGAUGGGGUUAUCCGUAAGGAGAAGCUCUUGAUCGAAGCCCCGGUAAACGGCGGCCGUAACUAUAACGGUCCUAAGGUAGCGAAAUUCCUUGUCGGGUAAGUUCCGACCUGCACGAAUGGCGUAAUGAUGGCCAGGCUGUCUCCACCCGAGACUCAGUGAAAUUGAACUCGCUGUGAAGAUGCAGUGUACCCGCGGCAAGACGGAAAGACCCCGUGAACCUUUACUAUAGCUUGACACUGAACAUUGAGCCUUGAUGUGUAGGAUAGGUGGGAGGCUUUGAAGCGUGGACGCCAGUCUGCGUGGAGCCAACCUUGAAAUACCACCCUUUAAUGUUUGAUGUUCUAACGUUGGCCCCUGACCGGGGUUGCGGACAGUGUCUGGUGGGUAGUUUGACUGGGGCGGUCUCCUCCCAAAGCGUAACGGAGGAGCACGAAGGUUAGCUAAUCCUGGUCGGACAUCAGGAGGUUAGUGCAAUGGCAUAAGCUAGCUUGACUGCGAGCGUGACGGCGCGAGCAGGUGCGAAAGCAGGUCAUAGUGAUCCGGUGGUUCUGAAUGGAAGGGCCAUCGCUCAACGGAUAAAAGGUACUCCGGGGAUAACAGGCUGAUACCGCCCAAGAGUUCAUAUCGACGGCGGUGUUUGGCACCUCGAUGUCGGCUCAUCACAUCCUGGGGCUGAAGUAGGUCCCAAGGGUAUGGCUGUUCGCCAUUUAAAGUGGUACGCGAGCUGGGUUUAGAACGUCGUGAGACAGUUCGGUCCCUAUCUGCCGUGGGCGCUGGAGAAUUGAGGGGGGCUGCUCCUAGUACGAGAGGACCGGAGUGGACGCAUCACUGGUGUUCGGGUUGUCAUGCCAAUGGCACUGCCCGGUAGCUAAAUGCGGAAGAGAUAAGUGCUGAAAGCAUCUAAGCACGAAACUUGCCCCGAGAUGAGUUCUCCCUGAGACUAUAAGUCUCCUGAAGGAACGUUGAAGACGACGACGUUGAUAGGCCGGGUGUGUAAGCGCAGCGAUGCGUUGAGCUAACCGGUACUAAUGAACCGUGAGGCUUAACCUU
Molecule: ribosomal RNA, 2791 nt
Filed under: Klebsiella pneumoniae
Lineage: Bacteria; Pseudomonadati; Pseudomonadota; Gammaproteobacteria; Enterobacterales; Enterobacteriaceae
Description: bacterial LSU rRNA
Rfam family: Bacterial large subunit ribosomal RNA
Source: RNAcentral